RNAcentral lists this ribosomal RNA (441 nucleotides) under uncultured bacterium. RNAcentral's name for it is "bacterial SSU rRNA". It matches the Rfam family "Bacterial small subunit ribosomal RNA", at positions 958 to 1398 of the family's 1533-position model. The record is from RNAcentral.
AACGCGAAGAACCUUACCUGGGCUCGAACGGCUUAAGACCAUCUUUGGAAACAGAGACUUCCCGCAAGGGACUUGAGUCGAGGUGCUGCAUGGCUGUCGUCAGCUCGUGUCGUGAGAUGUUGGGUUAAGUCCCGCAACGAGCGCAACCCUUAUUACCAGUUGCUACCAUUUAGUUGAGCACUCUGGUGAGACCGCCUCGGAUAACGGGGAGGAAGGCGGGGAUGACGUCAAGUCCUCAUGGCCUUUAUGUCCAGGGCUACACACGUGCUACAAUGGUCGGUACAAACCGUCGCAAACCCGCGAGGGGGAGCUAAUCGGAAAAAGCCGACCUCAGUUCGGAUUAGAGUCUGCAACUCGACUCUAUGAAGCUGGAAUCGCUAGUAAUCGCGGAUCAGAAUGCCGCGGUGAAUACGUUCCCGGGCCUUGUACACACCGCGCAUA